UAUAUUCCCCUUCGCUAGGUCUUCGUUGAGCAUUUUUGUGGGUGUUCUCUUCUUUCUCUGAUCUUUCUCGACUUUAAUAAGGCUUAUAGUUACUCGAACUGGUGAUAAAAGUUUUGUUGGUCGGGGAUCGCUUCGUGGACGGCGACGUGGAGAAUGUUUCGGCCGAUUUCAUCAAUCUCUUUUGUCACAGCCGCAAGGGCUUUCAGCACCCAACUCUUUGUUUCUAGAUUGUCAUUUUAUACGACUGAAAAGAAACUGGUAGAGCUAUUUUCACCUUUUGGAGUUCUGACAGAAGCUAGGCUUGUGAUGGACAGUAGUACCCAGAGGCAUAGAGGGUUUGGUUUUGUGACAUAUGAGUCUGAGAAGGAUGCACUUAAAGCUGUGAAGGCGUUGAAUAACAGGAUUAUUGAUGGAAGGUUGAUCUUUGUCGAGUUUGCAAAACCAAAAGUGGCAUCCGACAAUUCUUCUUAGGUGGUAUGGCCGCUUACCAUUUUCCAUGGAGAUCUUGGAGGGAUAUAGUCUCAAAUUCCUGGUUUCCUCGGGUCCCUUGGCUCCACAAUUUUCUCCUUAUCAAUUUUGUUGGACUCUUUUCAUUCUUGAUUCCACCCAGCAAAAUCGUAUAUAUAUACAACUUGUUUUAUUGAAGGUGUCAUUCAAAGACAACCUGAUGCUAGUGCCUGAUCGUCUAAAUGGCGUUUGAUUCUUGUUGCCCACCAUGGCCUGUAUGUUGGGGACCUGCAGGUGAGCUGCAAAGAAGGGACAUGAAGAUGGCAUCCUUUUCCUUGCUAGACAUUCUUGGCAAUUCCACCAAUUUUGCCUGUAUAGACUAACUUCCAUGGAUUUUAAUUUUGCUUGUUGGCUCCCGUGAGGUUUGAAUUCUAAUUAUCUUUAUGUUAAUGGAAGCAUUGCCCGGUGCUCCCUGUGCGGGGU
Molecule: RNA transcript, 930 nt
Organism: Nymphaea colorata (pocket water lily)
Lineage: Eukaryota; Viridiplantae; Streptophyta; Magnoliopsida; Nymphaeales; Nymphaeaceae
Gene name: small RNA-binding protein 11, chloroplastic-like
Exons: 5
Source: RefSeq, a predicted model, not a curated record